CAGUUUCUAUUUGCUGUGGUGAUAUGAAAUGUAUAUGUGUAUCAAUGCCUCCAGCCGUUACUAUAAGACCUUCUCCUGCUAUAGCUUCAGUUGACGCUCCAACUAUCAUGUUUUCAUCUACACCAUCCAUGGUAUCCAUGUUUCCAGCUUUUCCUAUACCCACUAUUUUCCCAUCUUUAAUGCCUAUAUCUGCUUUUACUAUACCCCAAUAGUCAAUUAUCACUGCAUUUGUUAUUACUAGAUCCAAAACACCUUCAUGUCUAGCUGCUUUAGCUGAUUGCCCCAUACCAUCUCUA
RNAcentral lists this small RNA (296 nucleotides) under Clostridium acidisoli DSM 12555. RNAcentral describes it as "5' ureB small RNA". It matches the Rfam family "5' ureB small RNA". The record is from Rfam by way of RNAcentral. Lineage: Bacteria; Bacillati; Bacillota; Clostridia; Eubacteriales; Clostridiaceae.